This 1492-nucleotide long non-coding RNA is filed under the name Helianthus annuus (common sunflower). Its description in RNAcentral is "sRNA HanXRQr2_Chr09g0397941". Lineage: Eukaryota; Viridiplantae; Streptophyta; Magnoliopsida; Asterales; Asteraceae. The record is from RNAcentral.
UGUAACACCCCGAAAAUGUAAACACUUUAUAUUAGAAUUAUAAAGUGUAAAAUAAACGAGAAUAAGCUAACUAGGAUAAAUAACCCGGUUAGUUAGGAGUUUUGCAAUAACACAUGAAUGAGAUAAAAAGCCUAAAUUAUAAACCAAAUGAAAGUUGAGGGGCUUAUGUUGUUAAAGAAUGAAACUUAAUUACAUAAAACAAAAAAACCAAACUCACUUUUGUGAGGUCUGGUUCGAUCAGAAGCAGGGAAGGGCGACCCCCAUUUCUCCAAAACCCUAACAUUCACAAAAGCCACAAAUUGAAGGCUCAAAUCAUGACCAAAUCGAUUUUCAAGCAUAAAUUAAUGAUCACCUAGUUGAGGAGAUCAUAAGGCAAGGAAUCCGGAACGUCAAGUGGACACGCCAGAGGUGAUGCUCGUGGAAAAGGUGUGCUUUAAAGGUAUGGAUGAGGACCUCUCGGAUGAUGAUCAAGUACAUUGUAAAGAACCGAACACGUAUUUUGAAGCUUCCGCACUAAACUAAAUCUUGUCUAGACUUUAAUCAUGUUGUAAAUGUUUUGUUAAUCGUGUUUUGAAUCCUUCAAACUAGUUGUUAGUUGACUAGUAAGGAUUAACUUUAAACUUGUUAUGCAUUAACUUAUGUUUGUUUUGGGUACUACAACAAGUAGGUUUGGUCUUUAAACACGAAAGUUUUUGUAAACUCUGAUUAGUAUUUAUUUAAUAUAAAUACUUAGUUAAAUUCCGUCUAAAUAUUAAGGGUGUUACACUACGGGCCUGAAUUCGAGCUUUAGAAACAAAGCUUGAAGGGGGCUCGGCUCAUUUGUGUUACUACUGAAUACAAGCGCUAGGUUACUUCCCAAUUAUAUUAGAAUAAAACCUAAACUCUAAUUUUAACUGUAUGUUUAACUAACCUACUUGCAAAAUCUGAUGAUGGUUCUACAUAUGUGGUUUACAAUAGUUGGGGUAGGGUUGGCAUAAAGGGUCAAGAUAAGUUGUUUGGUCUCUAUACCUGUAAAAGAUCCUCUCCAACCCCUAUGCUAACCUAUAACUUUGGCCAUAAAACGAAUCCCUGUUGAAGGGGCUUAUCCAUUUCCUAUAUUACAGAUUUUUUUUUUUGGUAUAGAGCAUAAAAUACUAAUAUGUUGUUGAUCUACAGAUGAAGUUGAAAGCCUCACUACAACAUAAAAAGCUGCUAUAUCCGGUUCAGAACCUUUAGGAGAACUUUUAGGACCGGUGAAAGUAACCUCAUUAAUGUCAAUAUUAAGAUAAAUCGGUUUAAAGUGGCAUUGCUCUGUUUAUAGAAAAGCGAUGAUGAUCUCAGGUGCAUUUGUUCAUCAUGUAGACGUAUUUGGAGUCAAUAUAACUUUUUUCGUGUGUAUUCGUGAUUGUUGUUAAUAAAUAAUGCCUCAUUUUUUAUUGUUACUACGUAAGCACCUCUACAUGGCCAGGAUAACCCAUUUACCUGGUUUUUCUAAUGCCGUCUAUAUAGAGGU